RNAcentral lists this long non-coding RNA (1310 nucleotides) under Marmota monax (woodchuck). Lineage: Eukaryota; Metazoa; Chordata; Mammalia; Rodentia; Sciuridae. The record is from RNAcentral.
GUUGGGAGAAAGCGCCCUACAGCCACAAGCCACCUCCCCUCCCCCAGAAAGACAGACUCCAUCAGAAAAGGAUGCGCGGGCCAUUCAGACCUGGUUAGCUGAGAAUCAGCAAGGUCCUGGGUCAGAUGCCUGGGCUCCAACCCAACUUGACUCUCUGAGUCUCAGUUCCCUCGUCUGUGAAAUGGGCACAAUACCAACACCCAGGACUAGGCACAUAGGGUGGGCGCAUCGGGAGGUUUGGCGGCAACAGUACAUGUGAGGCUUUGCCCCUCCUCUGUGCCAGGUCCGCUCUGACACUCUGAAAACCUCUCAGGACUUCAUCCUCUGUGAGGCGCUUUCACACCCUCCCCAUCCUCAGGCAGGACUUUGAAGAGGGCAUGCGGGUUCCAGUGGAGAACCUGGCUUGGCCCGGCACUGGCCAGCAGUGUGAGCAGUGUGACCUUGGUUCCUCCAAGCCUUGCUCGUCUGCACACAGAAUAGCCCUUGGUGCUAUUCUGGGGCCUGAGGAGUACUUUGAAAGUGGAGUAGAGCAUUAAUUUGCUCGGGUGGAUGCAACAAAUAUUACCGGCAGGUGGCUUCUACCCAGCGUUGGAUUGUGCAGAGUCCUGGGGCUGGAAGUCCAAGGUCAAGGUGGGCAGGGCUGGUUCCUCUUGAGCCUCUCUCCUGGGCCUGUGGAUGCAUCUUCUCCCCAUGUCCUCACACGGUCCUCUGUGCAUGUCUAUGUCCCAAUGUCUUGCUCUAAUUAGCUACACGUGACAGUGGCCUGCAUUUUGACACAUCAUAUAUAAAUGGAGUAAGACUUCUCAUUUUUCUGGUUGCACAUGAUGUGAGGUACACAAGUCGUGUAAUCAUAUAUGCACAUGGGUAAUGAUGUCCCACUCGUUCUACUGUCCUUCCUACCCCCAAAGCCAAUCUCUUUUUUAAGAACACCUGUCACAUUGGAUGAGGGACACCCAUAUGAUCUCAUUCUACGUUACACCUCCGUAAAGUGCAGCCACAGGCUGAGGUCCACAUAUGAGCUGUUGGGGACACACCUCAGGCCUGAACAAACAGGAACCUUCUGCCUUCAUAGCCUGCUAUUGUGUCUCUUGUGGCCAAUCCACUAAAGUCAGAAACCAGAAGAUUCGGUGUGAAUAAGCCUCCGUCUACGUACAGGGGAAAAGCCGCGCCUGAGACCCGUGGACCAGCCGCGAGCAGACCCCCACCUGAAAACCCAGAUUCAAAACUGCCUUUUGCAAUAUGUGCUGCGAACGUUUCCACCACCUAUUCCAUUAGAUUCUAAAAGCCAGAGUCAACUUUUCCCAGCCUUG